This 74-nucleotide transfer RNA is filed under the name Bajacalifornia megalops (bigeye smooth-head). RNAcentral describes it as "tRNA-Lys". It matches the Rfam family "tRNA". From Rfam's summary of the family: Transfer RNA (tRNA) molecules are approximately 80 nucleotides in length. Their secondary structure includes four short double-helical elements and three loops (D, anti-codon, and T loops). Lineage: Eukaryota; Metazoa; Chordata; Actinopteri; Alepocephaliformes; Alepocephalidae. The record is from RNAcentral.
CACUAGGAAGCUAACCCGGGUCUAGCGUUAGCCUUUUAAGCUGAAGACUGGUGGCCCCCAACCACCCCUAGUGA